UAGGGAAUCUUCCGCAAUGGACGAAAGUCUGACGGAGCAACGCCGCGUGAGCGAAGAAGGUCUUCGGAUCGUAAAGCUCUGUUGUUAGGGAAAGAACAAGUACCGGAGUAACUGUCGGUACCUUGACGGUACCUAACCAGAAAGCCACGGCUAACUACGUGCCAGCAGCCGCGGUAA
RNAcentral lists this ribosomal RNA (177 nucleotides) under uncultured Bacillus sp. RNAcentral describes it as "partial 16S ribosomal RNA". It matches the Rfam family "Bacterial small subunit ribosomal RNA", at positions 355 to 523 of the family's 1533-position model. Lineage: Bacteria; Bacillati; Bacillota; Bacilli; Caryophanales; Bacillaceae. The record is from RNAcentral.